RNAcentral lists this ribosomal RNA (920 nucleotides) under Bacteroidota bacterium. RNAcentral's name for it is "bacterial SSU rRNA". It matches the Rfam family "Bacterial small subunit ribosomal RNA", at positions 1 to 922 of the family's 1533-position model. Lineage: Bacteria; Pseudomonadati; Bacteroidota. The record is from RNAcentral.
ACAAUGGAGAGUUUGAUCCUGGCUCAGGAUUAACGCUAGCGGCAGGCCUAAUACAUGCAAGUCGAACGGUAAUCACGCUUUCGGGCGUGAACGAGUGGCGGACGGGUGCGUAACGCGUAUGCAACUUACCCUGUACCGGGGGAUAGCCCGGAGAAAUCCGGAUUAAUACCCCAUAAAGUAUAAAUAGGGCAUCCUAUUAAUAUUAAAGAUUUAUUGGUACGGGAUGGGCAUGCGUCUGAUUAGCUAGUUGGUACGGUAAUGGCGUACCAAGGCGACGAUCAGUAGGGGUUCUGAGAGGAAGAUCCCCCACACUGGCACUGAGAUACGGGCCAGACUCCUACGGGAGGCAGCAGUAGGGAAUAUUGGUCAAUGGGCGCAAGCCUGAACCAGCCAUGCCGCGUGCAGGAAGACGGCCUUCUGGGUUGUAAACUGCUUUUAUUAGGGAACAAAGAGGCACUGCGGUGCAAGUUGCGUGUACCUAAUGAAUAAGCACCGGCUAACUCCGUGCCAGCAGCCGCGGUAAUACGGAGGGUGCAAGCGUUGUCCGGAUUUAUUGGGUUUAAAGAGUGCGUAGGCGGUUAGAUAAGUCAGUGGUGAAAUACUACAGCUCACCUGUAGAGGUGCCAUUGAAACUGUCUGACUUGAGUGCAGAUGAGGUAAGCGGAAUUUAUGGUGUAGCGGUGAAAUGCAUAGAUACCAUAAAGAACACCGAUAGCGAAGGCAGCUUACUAGACUGCAACUGACGCUGAGGCACGAAAGCAUGGGUAGCGAACAGGAUUAGAUACCCUGGUAGUCCAUGCUGUAAACGAUGAUCACUCGAUGUGUGCGAUAUUACAGUACGCGUCCUAGCGAAAGCGUUAAGUGAUCCACCUGGGGAGUACGUCGGCAACGAUGAAACUCAAAGGAAUUGACGGGGGUCC